Molecule: ribosomal RNA, 270 nt
Filed under: uncultured bacterium
Lineage: Bacteria
Description: partial 16S ribosomal RNA
Rfam family: Bacterial small subunit ribosomal RNA
Source: RNAcentral
UUUGAUGGCGACCGGCGCACGGGUGAGUAACACGUAUCCAACCUGCCGAUGACUCGGGGAUAGCCUUUCGAAAGAAAGAUUAAUACCCGAUGGCAUAGUUCUUCCGCAUGGUAGAACUAUUAAAGAAUUUCGGUCAUCGAUGGGGAUGCGUUCCAUUAGGUUGUUGGCGGGGUAAUGGCCCACCAAGCCUUCGAUGGAUAGGGGUUCUGAGAGGAAGGUCCCCCACAUUGGAACUGAGACACGGUCCAAACUCCUACGGGAGGCAGCAUG